GAUGAACGCUGGCGGCGUGCUUAACACAUGCAAGUCUAACGGUGAAUGCGGCGCUUGCUCUGCUGGUUCAGUGGCGAACGGGUGCGUAACCCGUGAGCAAUCUUCCCCUGCCUCUGUGAUAAUCGCUGGAAACGGCGUCUAAUACUGGAUACGAGCUGCCCAUGCAUCUUCAGCAGCUGGAAAGAACUUCGGUCAGGGAUGAUCUCCCGGCCUAUCAGCUUGUUGGUGUGGUAACGGCUCACCAAGGAGUCGACGGGUAGCCGGCCUGAGAGGGUGACCGGCCAAACGGGGACAGAGAAACGGCACAGACAGCAACGGGAGGCAGAAGUGGGGAAUAUUGAACAAGGGGCGAAAGAAUGAUGCAGGAAGGCCGCGUGAGGGACGAAGGCCUUCGGGUUGUAAACCUCGUUUAGCAGGGAAGAAGCGAAAGUGACGGUACCUGGAGAAAAAGCGCCGGAUAACUACGUG
Molecule: ribosomal RNA, 468 nt
Filed under: uncultured bacterium
Lineage: Bacteria
Description: partial 16S ribosomal RNA
Rfam family: Bacterial small subunit ribosomal RNA
Source: RNAcentral